CCUACGGGAGGCAGCAGUGAGGAAUAUUGGUCAAUGGGCGGAAGCCUGAACCAGCCAAGUAGCGUGCGGGCUGAAGGCCCUACGGGUCGUAAACCGCUUUUGCACGGGGAUAACACCCUCCACUUGUGGAGUUCUGCAGGUACCGUGCGAAUAAGGGCCGGCUAAUUCCGUGCCAGCAGCCGCGGUAAUCCGGAAGGCCCGAGCGUUAUCCGGAUUCCUUGGGCGUAAAGGGAGCGUAGGCGGGCGUUCCAGUCAGCUGUAAAAUCGCGCGGCUCAACGGAGACCCGCAGUUGAAACUGGAAGCCUGGAGUUCACAACAGGCAGGCGGAAUUAGUGGUGUAGCGGUGAAAGG
This 352-nucleotide ribosomal RNA is filed under the name uncultured bacterium. Its description in RNAcentral is "partial 16S ribosomal RNA". It matches the Rfam family "Bacterial small subunit ribosomal RNA", at positions 338 to 688 of the family's 1533-position model. The record is from RNAcentral.